AUACGUAGGGGGCGAGCGUUGUCCGGAAUGAUUGGGCGUAAAGGGCGCGUAGGCGGCGCGGUAAGUCUGGAGUGAAAGUCCUGCUUUCAAGGUGGGAAUUGCUUUGGAUACUGCCGCGCUUGAGUGCAGGAGAGGUUAUCGGAAUUCCCGGUGUAGCGGUGAAAUGCGUAGAGAUCGGGAGGAACACCAGUGGCGAAGGCGGUUAACUGGACUGCAACUGACGCUGAGGCGCGAAAGUGUGGGGAGCAAACAGGAUUAGAUACCCUGGUAGUCCACACUGUAAACGAUGAAUGCUAGGUGUAAGAGGUAUCGACCCCUUUUGUGCCGGAGUCAACACAAUAAGCAUUCCGCCUGGGGAGUACGGCCGCAAGGUUGAAACUCAAAGGAAUUGACGGGG
Molecule: ribosomal RNA, 397 nt
Filed under: uncultured bacterium
Lineage: Bacteria
Description: partial 16S ribosomal RNA
Rfam family: Bacterial small subunit ribosomal RNA
Source: RNAcentral